AGAGUUUGAUCAUGGCUCAGAUUGAACGCUGGCGGCAUGCCUUACACAUGCAAGUCGAACGGCAGCACGGGAGCAAUCCUGGUGGCGAGUGGCGAACGGGUGAGUAAUACAUCGGAACGUGCCCAGUAGUGGGGGAUAACCCGGCGAAAGCCGGACUAAUACCGCAUACGACCUACGGGUGAAAGCAGGGGAUCGCAAGACCUUGCGCUAUCGGAGCGGCCGAUGUCAGAUUAGCUUGUUGGCGGGGUAAAAGCCCACCAAGGCGACGAUCUGUAGCUGGUCUGAGAGGACGACCAGCCACACUGGGACUGAGACACGGCCCAGACUCCUACGGGAGGCAGCAGUGGGGAAUUUUGGACAAUGGGCGCAAGCCUGAUCCAGCCAUGCCGCGUGCGGGAAGAAGGCCUUCGGGUUGUAAACCGCUUUUGUCAGGGAAGAAACGCUCCGGGCUAAUACCUCGGAGUAAUGACGGUACCUGAAGAAUAAGCACCGGCUAACUACGUGCCAGCAGCCGCGGUAAUACGUAGGGUGCAAGCGUUAAUCGGAAUUACUGGGCGUAAAGCGUGCGCAGGCGGCUUUGCAAGACAGAUGUGAAAUCCCCGGGCUUAACCUGGGAACUGCAUUUGUGACUGCAUGGCUGGAGUGCGGCAGAGGGGGAUGGAAUUCCGCGUAGCAGUGAAAUGCGUAGAUAUGCGGAGGAACACCGAUGGCGAAGGCAAUCCCCUGGGCCUGCACUGACGCUCAUGCACGAAAGCGUGGGGAGCAAACAGGAUUAGAUACCCUAGUAGUCC
Molecule: ribosomal RNA, 791 nt
Filed under: uncultured bacterium
Lineage: Bacteria
Description: bacterial SSU rRNA
Rfam family: Bacterial small subunit ribosomal RNA
Source: RNAcentral